This 497-nucleotide ribosomal RNA is filed under the name uncultured bacterium. RNAcentral's name for it is "partial 16S ribosomal RNA". It matches the Rfam family "Bacterial small subunit ribosomal RNA", at positions 28 to 507 of the family's 1533-position model. The record is from RNAcentral.
GAUGAACGCUGGCGGCGUGCCUAAUACAUGCAAGUCGAGCGAACGGACGAGAAGCUUGCUUUUCUGAUGUUAGCGGCGGACGGGUGAGUAACACGUGGAUAACCUACCUAUAAGACUGGGAUAACUUCGGGAAACCGGAGCUAAUACCGGAUAAUAUUUUGAACCGCAUGGUUCAAAAGUGAAAGACGGUCUUGCUGUCACUUAUAGAUGGAUCCGCGCCGCAUUAGCUAGUUGGUAAGGUAACGGCUUACCAAGGCAACGACGCAUAGCCGACCUGAGAGGGUGAUCGGCCACACUGGAACUGAGACACGGUCCAGACUCCUACGGGAGGCAGCAGUAGGGAAUCUUCCGCAAUGGGCGAAAGCCUGGCGGAGCAACGCCGCGUGAGUGAUGAAGGUCUUCGGAUCGUAAAACUCUGUUAUUAGGGAAGAACAUAUGUGUAAGUAACUGUGCACAUCUUGACGGUACCUAAUCAGAAAGCCACGGCUAACUACGUG